This is a long non-coding RNA of Pogoniulus pusillus (Red-fronted tinkerbird), 2178 nucleotides long. RefSeq lists it as uncharacterized. Lineage: Eukaryota; Metazoa; Chordata; Aves; Piciformes; Lybiidae. The transcript is spliced from 3 exons. The record is from RefSeq and is a predicted model, not a curated record.
GCCUGGAUGAUCUUGGAGAUCUCUUCCAAGCUGCUUGAAUCUAUGAUUCUGUAAAGGCAAGUUGUGAUCUAGUUACUUUCCAUGGGUUUUUUGUCUGCUUCUCUUGUUUUCCUUUAUAACACAACUUGAUGGGAGCUCCUCUGCUGGAGAACUGACAGAACCUGGUGCCUGAGAUGACAGAGCCUACCACCUUCUUGAACAGCACCAAAGAACAACCUCCUGUACAAUGAAGGGAGGGCAGGUACUAGAGAAAGCAUGCACAAAGCUGACCAAGACAAACAGCACACCGGAUCUGGAGGGGGAAGAACAGCUCUGGAUCUGCAGGAGAACUUUCCUAUGAGAAGUGAAACUGAGGCAUGGAAAGAAUUUAAGCCUCCAGACAAGCUGUUGUGGCUGAGAGGGAGAAGAUACACAUGGUCACACAACAGAAGGGGGCCAGAGGAGAGGGCAGCUGCCAAGCAACUCAACUUUGGGAAGAGCAGAAGACUGAGAGACUGUGUCUUGGUCCUCCUAUACAAGGAAUCACGAAGAUAGCCUAAGCUGUGAAAGCCCAGGAGAAUAAGGAAGGGAAAAAGAGUAAGCAGGAAUAGGAUAUGAACAGCUUUGACUUUGCAAAAGAUUGCAAAUAAUAAUUUCAGCUGGAAAAGGCAAUUAAAGUCAUCAAGUCCAACCAUUAUCUGCUUUCAACAAGUCUGGUGCUAAACUGUGUCCCUUAGCACCACAUUUAUGCAUCUUCAAAACAGCAAUGAAAAAUAACUAACAAACCCAAACAAACAAAAACCACAGGAAAAUAAAGGUCAAUAACAACAAAAAGGAAUACUGCAGAAGAAAGUAAGAUAGAGGAAAUAAUCUCCUAGGAUUGUUGUUUUGAAGAACAAAGACACUUGUCCAAACGCUUAGCCCGGUUGGCAAUUGUAUUGUCAGUGUCCCUGGUCAAGAGUGUUGUGCAUCAAAUCUGAAUUAGCAGAGAAGCAGAGCAUCUCUCAACCUGUUUUCCAACAAAAUAUGCAAAGCUAACAUGCAUAACAAUCUCUUCUUGAGCAAUGUGUGAUACUGCUUGGCUAUCCUGGCUCUGCUUUUUGAGACUAAAGAGCUUUGAGAAACCUCCUGGAGGCAAAGUCUUGCAAGCUCCUGUAAUGCUUCCUUAUUUGCUUCUCUCGUUAGAAACAAAACAAGCAACAAACCUCUUUCUCUCCUGCUUUCCUAUAACACAGUGUCUGUGUUUUUAGACAACCAAGCUGCUAUAAAAUAUUUAGCUGUUUUGCUUUUAGAGAGUGGCAUCCAUGCUUGUUUGCACACUCUGCUUUUCUGCCAAGAUGCCAGUCUGAAGUGGCAUUCUCCUUCUUGUUUACUGCAUACCCAGCAUAGUACAGCAGGCCUUUCUUCAAGGAAUAAAAGUACCUCUUUCAAGAUGGCCUGAACUUUGAGUUCUUAGUAACCUCAUUCAGCUGUGUUGCAGGGAAGGUAAGCCCAGACUCACUCUUUUUGUCUGAGUUAUGUCAGGACAGUAACAAAAGGAGUCACAGUUUUGCUACCAGUGAGCAAAGACUAGUUUUUCUCUGAAGCCAUUUCUUCAUUUCUGUAGCCUUUCAUGUUACCCUUCUGUCUUAGAAUCAUAGACUGUCAGGGGUUGCAAGGGACCUCCAAAGCACAUGUGGCCCAGCCCCCCUGCCAGAGCAGGAUCACCUAGAGCAGAUCACACCGCAACGCAUCCAGACAGCUCUUGAGUAUCUCCAGAGAGGGAGACUCCACAGCCUCCCUGGGCAGCCUGUUCCAGUGCUCUGUCAUCCUCACAGGGAAAAAAAUCUUCUUCAGGUUUACACAGAACCUCCUAUGCCUCUUGCCUUGGAGAAGUAAGAGUGAAUGAGGAAAAGUAACCCAGAGACAAAUAUUCCUGUUGCUCUCUACAGCCACUGGUGAAUCAUGAGACAGGGCAGCUGGGAAUUUAGACAUUCACCUUUUGCAGCAAUUAACAUCCAAUUUGUCCAUCAGUAAGUACCAUCUUGGCAGUGCAUUGCAUUGCCUCUCUCUCCCUUUUAAUCCAAAACUGCUCCACCUGUACGAGAUACCUGACAUCAUGUAUCCUCUUCCUGCAUUACUCUGUCUCUCAGGGUGUUCUCAGAGUCAUCUACUUGAAUUAUGAAAGUGAAUUUUAAAAUUGCAGGCACUGGAGUAAAG